Molecule: ribosomal RNA, 1273 nt
Filed under: Escherichia coli
Lineage: Bacteria; Pseudomonadati; Pseudomonadota; Gammaproteobacteria; Enterobacterales; Enterobacteriaceae
Description: partial 23S ribosomal RNA
Rfam family: Bacterial large subunit ribosomal RNA
Source: RNAcentral
GGGUUGUGAGGUUAAGCGACUAAGCGUACACGGUGGAUGCCCUGGCAGUCAGAGGCGAUGAAGGACGUGCUAAUCUGCGAUAAGCGUCGGUGAGGUGAUAUGAACCGUUAUAACCGGCGAUUUCCGAAUGGGGAAACCCAGUGUGAUUCGUCACACUAUCAUUAACUGAAUCCAUAGGUUAAUGAGGCGAACCGGGGGAACUGAAACAUCUAAGUACCCCGAGGAAAAGAAAUCAACCGAGAUUCCCCCAGUAGCGGCGAGCGAACGGGGAGGAGCCCAGAGCCUGAAUCAGUGUGUGUGUUAGUGGAAGCGUCUGGAAAGGCGUGCGAUACAGGGUGACAGCCCCGUACACAAAAAUGCACAUAUUGUGAGCUCGAUGAGUAGGGCGGGACACGUGGUAUCCUGUCUGAAUAUGGGGGGACCAUCCUCCAAGGCUAAAUACUCCUGACUGACCGAUAGUGAACCAGUACCGUGAGGGAAAGGCGAAAAGAACCCCGGCGAGGGGAGUGAAAAAGAACCUGAAACCGUGUACGUACAAGCAGUGGGAGCCUCUUAAUGGGGUGACUGCGUACCUUUUGUAUAAUGGGUCAGCGACUUAUAUUCUGUAGCAAGGUUAACCGAAUAGGGGAGCCGAAGGGAAACCGAGUCUUAACUGGGCGUUAAGUUGCAGGGUAUAGACCCGAAACCCGGUGAUCUAGCCAUGGGCAGGUUGAAGGUUGGGUAACACUAACUGGAGGACCGAACCGACUAAUGUUGAAAAAUUAGCGGAUGACUUGUGGCUGGGGGUGAAAGGCCAAUCAAACCGGGAGAUAGCUGGUUCUCCCCGAAAGCUAUUUAGGUAGCGCCUCGUGAAUUCAUCUCCGGGGGUAGAGCACUGUUUCGGCAAGGGGGUCAUCCCGACUUACCAACCCGAUGCAAACUGCGAAUACCGGAGAAUGUUAUCACGGGAGACACACGGCGGGUGCUAACGUCCGUCGUGAAGAGGGAAACAACCCAGACCGCCAGCUAAGGUCCCAAAGUCAUGGUUAAGUGGGAAACGAUGUGGGAAGGCCCAGACAGCCAGGAUGUUGGCUUAGAAGCAGCCAUCAUUUAAAGAAAGCGUAAUAGCUCACUGGUCGAGUCGGCCUGCGCGGAAGAUGUAACGGGGCUAAACCAUGCACCGAAGCUGCGGCAGCGACACUAUGUGUUGUUGGGUAGGGGAGCGUUCUGUAAGCCUGUGAAGGUGGCCUGUGAGGGUUGCUGGAGGUAUCAGAAGUGCGAAUGCUGACAUAAG